GUUCACAGAUCAAGAUCUGGUCAGAUCUGACUUUGUCAAAUUAAAUAUGGAGCUUGGGAACGAAUUUUUGAAUGAAACAAAUUGGGGGAUAUUUGGUUUAUGCCAUGCUGAUAACCGAGAGAGGCAAUUACUAAGCAUGGUACUCUCAUACCUUUAUUAGAUGCGAACAAUUACGGAGAAGAAGAAGAAGUGGAUUGGACAAGGUUUUUAUUUAUAUUGUUGGAAUUCUUUUGAUGGAGUUGAAGAAGUCCAGGGACAAAUAAGCAAACCAAGGCAAGCCUUCUUUUGAUCUCUGAUAUGAUGUCUCUUUGCAUGUCAUCUUGUGCUAUCAAUAGCAUCCUGGUUCUAUGUGUGAUGAUCUCCAUAUUGUUGUCAUCUAUGCUUGGAUGCAAGCAUGGUACCUCUAGUAGUUUUAUCUUGUCAAGGUCUUGGUAAUUGGUUGGGUGUAUGGUAUCAUGGCCAUUGCUAUCCAACUUGUUUUCUAUAUUUAGCUUGAACAUGUUCCACCUCGGGACAAGAUUCAUACUACACCACCUUCUAGUGUAGAGGUAUCAAUACCAUGAUCUUGGUGUAUUCUCAAAUUGUGAUGAGU
Long non-coding RNA from Lolium perenne, 592 nucleotides. RefSeq lists it as uncharacterized. Lineage: Eukaryota; Viridiplantae; Streptophyta; Magnoliopsida; Poales; Poaceae. The record is from RefSeq and is a predicted model, not a curated record.